Molecule: ribosomal RNA, 432 nt
Filed under: uncultured bacterium
Lineage: Bacteria
Description: partial 16S ribosomal RNA
Rfam family: Bacterial small subunit ribosomal RNA
Source: RNAcentral
GCGAACGCUGGCGGCAGGCCUAACACAUGCAAGUCGAACGAACUCUUCGGAGUUAGUGGCGGACGGGUGAGUAACACGUGGGAACGUGCCUUUAGGUUCGGAAUAACUCAGGGAAACUUGAGCUAAUACCGGAUGUGCCCUUCGGGGGAAAGAUUUAUCGCCUUUAGAGCGGCCCGCGUCUGAUUAGCUAGUUGGUGAGGUAAAGGCUCACCAAGGCGACGAUCAGUAGCUGGUCUGAGAGGAUGAUCAGCCACAUUGGGACUGAGACACGGCCCAAACUCCUACGGGAAGCAGCAGUGGGGAAUCUUGCGCAAUGGGCGAAAGCCUGACGCAGCCAUGCCGCGUGAAUGAUGAAGGUCUUAGGAUUGUAAAAUUCUUUCACCGGGGACGAUAAUGACGGUACCCGGAGAAGAAGCCCCGGCUAACUUCGUG